GUUCUGAAAACUGAAUAGUUCCCCUUCCAUUUAGUUGCUGAUUGCAUUACCUGCUAAUUCCUACCAACAAAGAAGUGUAUUUUAACCCAACUGGAAUUUCUAUUAUUACAUUUUACAUCCAUCCCCUUAUGUUGGUGGCUAAAUAUAGCAUUCAUUUUAUAGAGCUGUACAUCCUGACAACUAGGAAGAUAAGAAACUAUUUUAUUGGGAGGCCUCGGUGGCUCAGCAGGGCCUCAGAUAAAGCUAGAAGUGACUGAGAAGGCACGAAAGCAGAGCAUACCUUUGGAUGGACUCAUGAAUGAGAGGAAGAGGAGGAAAAGAAGUUGGAAAUAACGUUAUUAUUCAGUUCCAUGAACUGGGCUUCUUGGAAUCCAAUGCUGGAAAAGACCUUAAAAAUAAUCAAGUCCCACUUCAUAGUGAGAAGACGGAGGUUCAGGAUUACACAAUGAGUGGCAGAGCCACUUAG
This 466-nucleotide long non-coding RNA is filed under the name Vulpes vulpes (red fox). RNAcentral describes it as "lncRNA (ENSVVUG00000006930.1)". The record is from RNAcentral. Lineage: Eukaryota; Metazoa; Chordata; Mammalia; Carnivora; Canidae.